GGGGCUGAUAUAGCUUUAGACAAUUGGAACUUAACAAUAUAUUCCGCAGAUCGAUCUAUACGCGUAAAGUAUUAUUUAAUUGCAAAAUCUAAAAUUGCGUCUGCAUUUGAUAGUGUAAAGAGUAUUUUUGCUCCACGAUCACUUGCAGUUGUUGCUGCUUAAUUUAAGGCAACCAUUUCGUUUAUUUUCGCAGUAGUAGAAUAGGCGAGGUGUUAUAUUUUAUACUGCUUGCUGUCAGUUAGAAGUAGUGCGCUGAUGGGACUAUUUAUUCUACGUAACUAACUAUCAUUUUUUGGUUUAUUUAUAUAUUGAUUGUUGGUUAUAAAAAAUUAAAUAAACCUAUAUCUGUAGACGAGUAUAUUGUUACCAUUUGGACCGGGGGGCAGUACCCCGCAGCUCCACCA
This 404-nucleotide transfer-messenger RNA is filed under the name TM7 phylum sp. oral taxon 348. It matches the Rfam family "transfer-messenger RNA". Rfam says of the family: Bacterial tmRNA, also known as 10Sa RNA or SsrA, is named for its dual tRNA and mRNA-like properties. Its role is to liberate the mRNA from a stalled ribosome. To accomplish this part of the tmRNA is used as a reading frame that ends in a translation stop signal. The record is from Rfam by way of RNAcentral. Lineage: Bacteria; Candidatus Saccharimonadota. RNAcentral also lists the same sequence under 3 other names.